This is a non-coding RNA of Thamnophis sirtalis, 422 nucleotides long. The record is from RefSeq and is a predicted model, not a curated record. NCBI's taxonomy places the organism in Eukaryota, Metazoa, Chordata, Lepidosauria, Squamata, Natricidae.
UAGCUGCGAUGAAGCAGAUGCUGCUUACUCUCCGUGGUCAACCCCACGGGGACAACUUGCCUCAGAAACAGAGAAAAACUUCCCCGGAAAAAUCUGUCUCGAAUCCAUCGGUUCAGUUCCCUUUCCCUCACCAGGAUGGCAAUACGUUUGCACCCAAGCCAACAGUCUUCACAAAGGAGGCUCCAGCACAAGGCCGGAAGAAGGGGAAACAAACCAAAGCCCCCUAAAGUUUUAUUCCAGGCAAGGCUCGUCACAAUCAUGUUCGAAGACUUCUUAAUUAACCCACUCUAUUUUCCUAACUGCAUUUUAACUCCCUUUGCUUUUAAUAUCAUUGUGGCUCCAAAGAGGCCCAUUCUGAUCAUUUAGGAUUCGUGCCACUGGUCUACACCCUUUAAUGCUGCUAAUAAAAACAUUGCACGAUA